RNAcentral lists this long non-coding RNA (857 nucleotides) under Homo sapiens (human). RNAcentral's name for it is "HSALNT0344817". The record is from RNAcentral. Lineage: Eukaryota; Metazoa; Chordata; Mammalia; Primates; Hominidae.
UUUUUUUUUUUUUUUUUUUUUUUUAGACGGAGCAUUUAUUUGGGAUGAGGAAAGGAAAUUGAGCAGAAGGUACAGGAGUAAUAGCAAUUCCCUGUAGCUCUCAAAGCAAAUUUUGAGCUCAUUUUUCUUUUUCUGCAAGCUCAGCAGCAGAAUGCCCAGAGUCUUCCCUGGUAGAUGCAGCAGAAUGCCCAGAGUCUUCCCUGGUAGAUGCAGGUUCCAUAGCGACGUUCUCCUGCAAUGCACGCUGGUAUUCUGCAAUAGCAGUCCAUGUUUUUCCUUGAGCCUGGGACAGGGAGAGCAUGAGAAAUUGAGUAUGGAGUUAGCAGUGGGUAAGAAAAAGAAUCUCGGGGAAGUCACAUGCUAGCUGACAGGUGAUGCUGGCUGCAUUGCAGCCGUUAGCACGAACAACCUCAGUCGAUAGGAAUAAACACGCAGAGCAGUGCUUGUCACACAGAAUUUGAGACUCAUUCUCCUUUGCUCUCAUUUUUGCAUUCCUGCCCCAUCACACACACACCUGAACAUACCCUCAGGCUUGGCUGCAGUUUUUAAAAGCUCUUCUGUAGAGUAAAAUGUUCUCUUUACAACUAAGUCUACUUGUUUAGAUCCAGAAAUAACUAGUCUGUCUCUUCAUAUCUUAAACUUAGUGAAUUUCACAGAUGUUUCUUGGAAUCAAGUCUUUGGAGAAAUAAAGUUUCUCAGGUUUAUUUGGCUCUCUGUUCAAUUUCUAGAUGAGAAAAUCAAUGCCCAGAGAUUCUAAGUGAAGCCACCUCAGUGACAUAGACUGCUGAGACCCAACUCUGGAACCUCUCUCCCGUCCUUCCCUCUAGACUUAGCAGCUCUGCAUGCCUGCCUCUCUC